GUUCUACCUUGACGAAUUGUAGUUUAAAGAAGUGUUUUCUGUUAGAGGAGUAGCAAAAGUUCCUUGGAAUGGGACAUCAUAGAGGGUGAGAAUCCCGUGUUUGGUUAUUCUUUCUAGCUUUGUGAUACACUUUCAAAGAGUCGGAUUGUUUGGGAAUGCAGUCCAGAAUGGGUGGUAAAUUUCAUCUAAAGCUAAAUAUUGGCGAGAGACCGAUAGCGAACAAGUACCGUGAGGGAAAGAUGAAAAGAACUUUGAAAAGAGAGUUAAACAGUACGUGAAAUUGUCAAAAGGGAAGCGUUUGACACCAGUGUUGUUUUUCCGAAAAUCAAUUAAGAAGGGCUUGAUUUUGUGUUGUAUUGACCUUAUCAGCUUUCUUCACUCUUUUUCGAGUCUUUCUU
RNAcentral lists this ribosomal RNA (398 nucleotides) under uncultured Neocallimastigomycetes. RNAcentral describes it as "eukaryotic LSU rRNA". It matches the Rfam family "Eukaryotic large subunit ribosomal RNA", at positions 127 to 522 of the family's 3401-position model. Lineage: Eukaryota; Fungi; Neocallimastigomycota; Neocallimastigomycetes. The record is from RNAcentral.